Molecule: ribosomal RNA, 492 nt
Filed under: uncultured bacterium
Lineage: Bacteria
Description: partial 16S ribosomal RNA
Rfam family: Bacterial small subunit ribosomal RNA
Source: RNAcentral
AGUGAACGCUGGCGGUAGGCCUAACACAUGCAAGUCGAACGGCAGCACAGUAAGAGCUUGCUCUUACGGGUGGCGAGUGGCGGACGGGUGAGGAAUACAUCGGAAUCUACUUUUUCGUGGGGGAUAACGUAGGGAAACUUACGCUAAUACCGCAUACGACCUACGGGUGAAAGCAGGGGAUCUUCGGACCUUGCGCGAUUGAAUGAGCCGAUGUCGGAUUAGCUAGUUGGCGGGGUAAAGGCCCACCAAGGCGACGAUCCGUAGCUGGUCUGAGAGGAUGAUCGGCCACACUGGAACUGAGACACGGUCCAGACUCCUACGGGAGGCAGCAGUGGGGAAUAUUGGGCAAUGGGCGCAAGCCUGAUCCAGCCAUCCCGCGUGGGUGAAGAAGGCCUUCGGGUUGUAAAGCCCUUUUUUUGGGAAAGAACAGCAGCAGGUUAAUACCCCGCUGUUCUGACGGUACCCAAUGAAUAAGCACCGGCUAACUUCGUG